Molecule: long non-coding RNA, 756 nt
Organism: Belonocnema kinseyi
Lineage: Eukaryota; Metazoa; Arthropoda; Insecta; Hymenoptera; Cynipidae
Exons: 3
Source: RefSeq, a predicted model, not a curated record
GAGCAAACACGGCACUUCAUUCCCGAUUUUUUAACAGUAACAAAAUUUUAAUUAGAUUUUUUAAAAUCCAAUAAUUUUUGGCUGUUAAGAUGUUGGAAAAAAUGAUGUAUUCAAGAUUAAAUCAAAAGCUUACCACUGAAACUAUGGUGGCUGCUUCGGAAUGUUGAGUCUUUUCGGGGGCGGGUGCAUCCUCAGCAGUUGAAAUGGAAAUUAGAUUCGAAUUUUUACCAAGUUCUAGGGAUUUUGCCUUAAGUAUAUUGCACUUGAGCGACUCUGGAGGGAUCGGCGUGCGGGGCGGCAGCACGGAAGCACCACUCACUUGGUUAUUAGGUUCCAAAGGCUGCUGAUCUUUUGCAAGCGACUUCAUAAGUGAAUCUACUAGUGGAGAGGAAGUUCCCUGAAUACUCGAGUCAGAGGAUUUCGUACUGCAUCUACUCGACUGCCGUUGGAUGGAUUCUUCUUCUGAAACAGCUGAAACAGUACAUCAAUACACAUCAUUUAUUUCAAGCAACGAUUUACUGUGAAACUAAAAGAAAAAUCUAGACUAGCAAUUGCAAAUAAUGCUACGUCUACACACUGUCUUAAAAUUGAAGACAUUUAAAUUAAUUUAAAAUCCUCUUUAACUUUCAAUAAUCAACUUUGUGUACAGAAUUCCUGAAAAUAAAACCGAGAAUCCAACGACCAAAUUUUGACAAGCACCAUAAACUGCUCCUAUUGUAAUUGGAAAAAAGAUUUUUUUUCCUUAAAAAAGAAAAA